Molecule: transfer RNA, 91 nt
Filed under: Streptococcus mitis
Lineage: Bacteria; Bacillati; Bacillota; Bacilli; Lactobacillales; Streptococcaceae
Description: tRNA-Pyl
Source: RNAcentral
CACCUCCCUUGGUCAAGGGACUGACUUCCUCUAAAGAAGUGGAGUAAACAGCUUCCGAUAAAACCAUCGGUUCUAAGUCCAUUGGCGGUUC